GACGAACGCUGGCGGCGUGCCUAACACAUGCAAGUCGAACGGAAAGGCCCCUUUGGGGGUACUAGAGUGGCGAACGGGUGAGUAACACGUCAGUAACCUGCCCUUGACUUCGGGAUAACUUCAGGAAACUGGGGCUAAUACCGGAUAGGAAUCCUUGCUGCAUGGUGGGGGUGGGAAAGCUUCGGAGGCUUUGGAUGGGCUUGCGGCCUAGCAGCUUUUUGGUGGGGUAGGGGCUUACCAAGGCUUUGACGGGGAGCCGGCCGGGGAGGGCGACCGGGCACAGUCGGACUGAGACUCGGCCCAGACUCCGACGGGUAGCAGCAGGGGGGGAGGUUGCACUAUGGGCGGAGGCCAGAUGCAGCAACGCCGCGGGCGGGUGGACGACCUUCGGGUUGGAAACCGCUUGCAGCAGGGGCGAAGCUGGUGGUGACGGUACCUGCAGAAGAAGCACCGGCUAACUACGUG
This 465-nucleotide ribosomal RNA is filed under the name uncultured bacterium. Its description in RNAcentral is "partial 16S ribosomal RNA". It matches the Rfam family "Bacterial small subunit ribosomal RNA", at positions 28 to 507 of the family's 1533-position model. The record is from RNAcentral.